UGUAAAUGAUGUUCCAAUGGAUCCUUCUGACCCUUCCUUUGGUAUACUCAAGGAAGUGGAUAUGAGGAGGAAGAUAUACUGAUACA
Molecule: small nucleolar RNA, 86 nt
Organism: Pristis pectinata (smalltooth sawfish)
Lineage: Eukaryota; Metazoa; Chordata; Chondrichthyes; Rhinopristiformes; Pristidae
Source: RefSeq, a predicted model, not a curated record